UUUUGAUUUGCCCGUUCCUAGUCGUCAUGGGAAAGAAAGGCAGAAAUAAGAAAGAGAUUCUUCCCUAAGAGCUUGUCCAGUACCACCGAUACAAAAAAUGCACUUCGGGUAACCAAAUAUGAACUGGUACCAUGGGUGACGGCGAAAGAGGCAGACUCACGAAAGGAAGAGGCAAAAGGGAAAGAAGUUCUUGUGCAACUCGCAGAAGAAGGCAAAUUCGUAGGCACCUCAGUCAUAGAUAGGCCCGAAAGAGGAAGGGGCUGAGCGGGAAAGAUGCC
This 278-nucleotide long non-coding RNA is filed under the name Ricinus communis (castor bean). RNAcentral's name for it is "long non-coding RNA (RCOM_LNC003234)". The record is from RNAcentral. Lineage: Eukaryota; Viridiplantae; Streptophyta; Magnoliopsida; Malpighiales; Euphorbiaceae.